Molecule: transfer RNA, 71 nt
Filed under: Elusimicrobia bacterium CG11_big_fil_rev_8_21_14_0_20_64_6
Lineage: Bacteria; Pseudomonadati; Elusimicrobiota
Also listed under: 1 other name
Description: tRNA-Gln
Rfam family: tRNA
About the family: Transfer RNA (tRNA) molecules are approximately 80 nucleotides in length.
Source: RNAcentral
UCCCGGGUGGUGUAAUGGUAACACAGAGGCCUUUGAAGCCUUUAUUCGUGGUUCGAGUCCACGCCCGGGAA